UUUGACCUCAAAUCAGGUAGGACUACCCGCUGAACUUAAGCAUAUCAAUAAGCCGGAAGA
RNAcentral lists this ribosomal RNA (60 nucleotides) under Pleurotus djamor. RNAcentral's name for it is "partial 28S ribosomal RNA". Lineage: Eukaryota; Fungi; Basidiomycota; Agaricomycetes; Agaricales; Pleurotaceae. The record is from RNAcentral.